CUUAAAUUAAAACAUGUGAUUCUUCAUAUCGAACCUUGCAUAAACCAUAUAAAUAAAAUUAAUCAUUUUCUGAAAUCAAGUAUGAAGAAAUGAAAUUAGAAAUAAAAAAAAAUUAGAUGCAAGUAAUGCGAUUGGCCGAGGCAAGUAUAACUCUUUCCUUAAGAUAAAUUUGCCCCGCAUCGGUGCUAACGGUUUUUCGGCAGUCAUCUCCCAAGAUACAACGACCACAUCAAAUCAUAAGAGCACUCCAAAUGACUUCAACCAGUGAACUCGAACGGAAUUCCCCCUCUACCAUAACCAUGAUUUUGAUACAAAAGAUAAUCACUUCUACAAAGUGUUUUAUGCAUAGCAAAUUGUAAAAUAUGGAAUGGAAUGAAUUGAAAUGACAAAUACACAUCCAAGUGGUCCUAUAUAUGGAAGAUGAAGGGUUGUGGGUGAAGGGACACACUCCAAAUCCAACAUUUUUCGUGGAAAGUUGCAACACUUCAUUUCGAAAAGUUGUAACACUUCAUUCUUCCAACUUUGGAUCACAAUUUCUUAUUCAUUCGGAAUUGGUUUCGAGAUUUCAAAUAUACCAUGACGAUCUACUCGACGAGUAGAAUAGGUUGGUCUAUUUACUUUUGUGAUUUGACCAUUGGAUCAAGUUCGAAUAUUCGACCAAAGUUGACAUGAAGUUACACCUUUUCAUUUUCUUAGUUUUACACUUAACCAAUUUUCGGUUAAUUUUUUGAACCAAUUCCAACACUAAUGUAAUUGAGAAAGAAAUCCUGAAGUGACGGGAGAAUUCGUAAAACUGUUCUGUCUAUGAACUAUAGAAAGAAAGAAAAUAAUAAUUUCAACCUCCUUUGGCUUGCAUAGUUUUGGAGUGAUAUCUUGGGGUCAGCAUUGCUCUCAUUUUUGACCUUGCAGUACAAAUUUAGGUGGAAAUUCCAUCAUAUUCUCGGUAGAAAUGUUGGAAUUUCUUGUGAUCAAAGAUGGCAAAGAUAAUUUUUGUAAAGCAAGGAGAAAGCUACAGGCUGCCUGAUCAGAUAGGCAAUGGAUAAAUUCUCUUCUAAAUGCCUAAAAUUAUUGUAAACUGGUGGACUGAGUUAAACAGUAUUGGAGAGGGCAACAUGAAAAUCUAACUUCUUUUCUUCCUUAUUCAUAACCAGUUCUAAUUCAGCCCACAUAUAGAAAUAAUUAAGUAUUUGGCAAUUUUAGAAUUAUAUGGUAGUUUUAGAACAUUUUCUUCAUAACAAAGUUUUGUUUAUUGAAGUCUUGCAAUUACUAUCGUAUAGGAUUUUAUUAUGAUAUUUUGAAAUUUCCUCAUAAAUAGAAUUCUAUAGUAUUGGAUAAAUAGGACCACACGUCUUUGGAAAGUCAGACUUGUUGAAACGAAAAAUUGGUGUUCUCAAUCAUAUGCCUAAAUUCUCAGCAUUCCAUGAGAGUCAACGAGUCUUUGAUGCCUAGUUUUAUGGUAUUCAUCAGUGAAUCAACAUGAGGUUGUUUUUUACUUUCGUGUUCUCAUGCAUCUAUACACGCUACCCUGCAUCAAGUACUGUUGAGUCCAACCUUGGAAACAUGCCCUUAUGGACAUCUUAUCUUACUGGACAGCCUGAUACAUGCGAUAUAUGGUAGUUCAAGGGAGAAAAACUUGUCAGAAAGAAGAAACUACCGCUAAAGAAUCCUUGUAAUCUGAAAAAUGAUCUGGUGUUUUAUCUGAUAUCAGGAAGUUGCUUACCUUAGCAUGCCAUGUAGUGUACUGCCUGCUACUUUGGAUUCUUAUGCACUUGUGGCAUAAGGGGCCUGACCAUGAAAGUUUUUGAGCUUCAAGAAUAAGCCGAGCUCAGAGACAACUUAGAAACUUC
Molecule: long non-coding RNA, 1847 nt
Filed under: Olea europaea subsp. europaea
Lineage: Eukaryota; Viridiplantae; Streptophyta; Magnoliopsida; Lamiales; Oleaceae
Source: RNAcentral